AAGGCUGAAAUUCGCCUUCAUGAAGCCGGAAUUGCUAGUAAUGGCAGGUCAGCAUACUGCCGUGAAUACGUUCCCCGGGGCCCUUGUACACACCGCCCGUCACACCAUGAGAGUUGGGAAUACCCGAAGCCUGUGAGCUAACUUUUAGAGGCAGCAGUCGAAGGUAGAAUCAAUGAUUGGGGUGAAGUCGUAACAAGGUAGC
RNAcentral lists this ribosomal RNA (202 nucleotides) under uncultured bacterium. Its description in RNAcentral is "partial 16S ribosomal RNA". It matches the Rfam family "Bacterial small subunit ribosomal RNA", at positions 1301 to 1500 of the family's 1533-position model. The record is from RNAcentral.